Molecule: ribosomal RNA, 398 nt
Filed under: uncultured bacterium
Lineage: Bacteria
Description: partial 16S ribosomal RNA
Rfam family: Bacterial small subunit ribosomal RNA
Source: RNAcentral
AUACGUAGGGAGCGAGCGUUGUCCGGAAUUACUGGGCGUAAAGAGCUCGUAGGUGGUUUGUCGCGUCGUCUGUGAAAUUCCGGGGCUUAACUCCGGGCGUGCAGGCGAUACGGGCAUAACUUGAGUACGGUAGGGGGGACUGGAAUUCCUGGUGUAGCGGUGAAAUGCGCAGAUAUCAGGCGGAACACCGGUGGCGAAGGCGGGUCUCUGGGCAGUAACUGACGCUGAGGAGCGAAAGCAUGGGUAGCGAACAGGAUUAGAUACCCUGGUAGUCCAUGCCGUAAACGGUGGGCGCUAGGUGUAGGGGUCUUCCACGACUUCUGUGCCGUAGCUAACGCAUUAAGCGCCCCGCCUGGGGAGUACGGCCGCAAGGCUAAAACUCAAAGGAAUUGACGGGG